GAUGAACGCUGGCGGCGUGCCUAAUACAUGCAAGUCGAACGAGGUGCUUGAGUAGCAAUACAAGAGUAUCCUAGUGGCGAACGGGUGAGUAACGCGUGGGUGACCUGCCCCGAAGUGUGGGAUAACAGUCCGAAAGGAUUGCUAAUACCUCAUGUGGUUAUCGGAUUUAGAAACUGAUAACUAAAGCAGCAAUGCGCUUUGGGAGGGACCUGCGUCCCAUCAGCUAGUUGGUGAGGUAAUGGCUCACCAAGGCUACGACGGGUAGGGGACCUGAGAGGGUGGCCCCCCACAAUGGAACUGAAACACGGUCCAUACACCUACGGGUGGCAGCAGUAGGGAAUAUUGCUCAAUGGGCGAAAGCCUGAAGCAGCAACGCCGCGUGUGCGAUGAAGGCCUUGGGUCGUAAAGCACUUUUCUAAGAGAUGAGAAAGGACAGUAUCUUAGGAAUAAGUCUCGGCUAACUACGUGCCAGCAGCCGCGGU
RNAcentral lists this ribosomal RNA (482 nucleotides) under uncultured bacterium. Its description in RNAcentral is "bacterial SSU rRNA". It matches the Rfam family "Bacterial small subunit ribosomal RNA", at positions 28 to 521 of the family's 1533-position model. The record is from RNAcentral.